CUUUAUUGAUCUCCAAGAGAAACCCACGAGCACUCCUUGUGACACCAGUCUAAAGCUGGACAUUAGUGUUGAGGUAAUAGCUUACAAACCUUUGAUGUGUAGGAAGCUGUGGAAGUAGGGAAGCGUGACGCAGCUGUAGACGGAAUCUCUGCGGUAGGACAGCUCGUCGUCCGUGUCAAACCUGUCAAAGUCCUCCUCGCUGUCCUCAAACUGACAAAGACAUAAAAAGACAGAAACCUUCUCAGUCAAGAGCUGCAUCAAACCUGUAAUUGUGGACGCACCGAGGACUGCGCCCCCUCUGAUCCAAAGCGGUACACGCCCGAGCUGUUGUAGGUUCCCAAGGAGCCGCGGUAGUCAGAAGACCACUGCUCACUGCGAGGGUUGGAGAAGGCCACGCUGCCGCUGGAAACGAUGGCACCUUCAUCGUAGUCGUCCUGGUCGUAGUCAGAGUCCUCGUCAGGAGGAAUGAGCUCCACCAGGUGGUCGGCCUGAGGGUCCUCCUUAACGGAGGGGACAAGGAGGCAGGCGGCGGGUGGCGGAAGUAGAGGGGGAGCCUGGAGGAGCACGGUGGUUGGCGGGAGAGGCGGGAUCACACCGUCGUUGGCGUACGGGUCCUCUUCGGAGGAGUCGUCGCUGGUACGGAUGCCACUGGUCCGCUGGCCGUCAGAGUGGCCAUGCUCACUCGGGUUGGGAGAGUCUUUGAAGGCCUCUUCAUCGGCACCAAAGCCUUCAUCCACUUCCUCUUCCUCCUUUUCUCGUCCUUCCACAGCCAGCGAGCUCUCGAUGUUCCUCACGCACUCGUCAAUCUCAUCAAAGUUGAGUGACUGCAAGAAGUGCUGCGCUGCCUUGCAGGCCUCCUCCUCCAGACGCUGCAACUCUUGGUCACGGAGGUCCUGGAGGCGCUGCAACGACGCCUCCGUCAAGGAGAGCUCUUGGCGCUCCUUCUGCAUCUGCAGAGACUGGAUCUCACGCUCCAGGCGAAGGAUCUCCUCCACCUGAGAUGCCUCGUGAGGGCGUAUGGCCUCCUCCAUGUCCAAGGCCUCUGCUGUCUCCUCCUGUUCCUUUAAAGAGUCUGGCGAGGUAGUGACAGCUGGGAGAGUCUGAGACUGAACCACAAGCAGAGUUGCCAGCUCCUCAGCUCGCUGCUGGUCUUCACACCUCCUGGAAGCCUAAAGGAGAUAAUGAGACUUGACAGCCUGCUGAAGUUCUCUGAGAUGUUAGUUUUUAGCAUGGUUGUCUUUGGUACCUCCUCUGCCAGCUGCUUCUCCUCCAGCGUCCGUCUCUCCCUGUGAAGACCAAACAGAAACAUUAGCUGACGGAAUGUUGUCCUGUCACCUCUUCUUCUCACUUACUGAGAAUCCUCUAGUCAGCAUGCCAAACAGUCCUCGCUGUGACCAGGCUAAGUCUUGACAUCCGUCAUACAACUACUUUUAUUCUGCAUGUAGUUUUUAUUUUUCUUCUGUUUUCAGCCUCCUGCGUCGCUCCUCUUCUUCCCUCCUCCUCCUCCUCUCGGCCAGCAGCUGGCUGAAGGCGCGGCGGGCCAGCUGUCCUCGUAGAACCUUCUGGACGGUGAGUGCUGCCCGCCGGAGCAGCAGGAACUUCCUCCUCAUGUAAAAAGCACGGUAGUUCUUCUGGAUGACCACAAUGCACUGCAGCAACCUCCUGUACUGCUUUCUGUGGACGACACAGCGAUCAAAAUGUGUUCAUUCAUUGUGCUGAAGUGAAGCUCAAGGUGGACUCCUACCUGACCAUGUAGCCCAUCAUGUGAGCUUGGAUGACCAUGGCUGCUUUCAGCACCUCCAUCUCACGCUGCUUCUCCAGAUGAUGUUCCAGAGACUCUCUGAGGAACACCUAGGCACAUUAAUAAACAUAUUGCUACAUUAAUACCUGGCCGACAGUCAGUGAACAUUAUUAUCUUCUUAAAGGCUGACUUUUGACACAUUUAAAGUCACAGUACAUCUUUUUUCCACACAUACAACACAAAAGACACGUGAAACAAAGCCAUCCAGAUUAAGUCCUUUUGUUGACAUCACACACGACCCAAACAAUGAUUGGGGCACGGUUCAGCUCAGUGCGCCAUUCAUCCAAUUUGGGGGUGGGGGUUAUCCUAUUAGGGAGAUACAGGACGUGGUCUCAGGAGAGUGAGACACAUGGGAAACAUUGUCUUUGCACGCUGCACGUGUGUCGCUGCUUAGGCGAUGGU
Long non-coding RNA from Dunckerocampus dactyliophorus (ringed pipefish), 2203 nucleotides. RefSeq lists it as uncharacterized. The transcript has 3 exons. NCBI's taxonomy places the organism in Eukaryota, Metazoa, Chordata, Actinopteri, Syngnathiformes, Syngnathidae. The record is from RefSeq and is a predicted model, not a curated record.